UACGGGGGGGGCAAGCGUUGUUCGGAAUUACUGGGCGUAAAGGGCGCGUAGGCGGCUUCGGAAGUCAUGGGUGAAAGCCCCGGGCUCAACCUGGGAAUGGCCUGUGAAACCACGGAGCUGGAGUGCUGGAGAGGGAAGCGGAAUUCCCAGUGUAGCGGUGAAAUGCGUAGAUAUUGGGAGGAACAUCUGUGGCGAAGGCGGCUUCCUGGACAGACACUGACGCUGAGGCGCGAAAGCCAGGGGAGCAAACGGGAUUAGAUACCCCGGUAGUCCUGGCUGUAAACGAUGAAUACUUGGUGUGGGGGGGUAGGAAAGUCCCUCUGUGCCGGAGACAACUCAUUAAGUAUUCCGCCUGGGGAGUACGGCCGCAAGGCUGAAACUCAAAGGAAUUGACGGGGGCCCGCACAAGCGGUGGAGCAUGUGGUUUAAUUCGACGCAACGCGAAGAACCUUACCGGGGUUUGAACUGGAUUGGCGACCUGCUGAGAAGUAGGGUUCCUUUCGGGGACUGAUCCAGAGGUGCUGCAUGGCUGUCGUCAGCUCGUGUCGUGAGAUGUUGGGUUAAGUCCCGCAACGAGCGCAACCCUUGUCUGUAGUUGCCACCAGGUGAAGCUGGGCACUCUACGGAGACUGUCGGCGAAAAGCCGGAGGAAGGUGGGGAUGACGUCAAGUCCUCAUGGCCUUUAUGUCCCGGGCUACACACGUGCUACAAUGGAUGGAACAGAGGGCAGCGACCUCGCAAGAGCAAGCGAAUCCCAGAAAUCCAUUCUCAGUUCGGAUUGUAGUCUGCAACUCGACUACAUGAAGGUGGAAUCGCUAGUAAUCGCGGAUCAGAACGCCGCGGUGAAUACGUUCCCGGGCCU
RNAcentral lists this ribosomal RNA (862 nucleotides) under uncultured bacterium. RNAcentral's name for it is "SSU rRNA". It matches the Rfam family "Bacterial small subunit ribosomal RNA", at positions 524 to 1381 of the family's 1533-position model. The record is from RNAcentral.